CGCAUCUGUGCAUGCAGCAUAUCAAUAAGCGGAGGAAAGGAAACUAACAAGGAUUCCCUAGUAACGGCGAGUGAAGCGGGAAGAGCUCAAAUUUGAAAUCUUCAAGGUUUUACCUUGACGAAUUGUAGUUUAAAGAAGUGUUUUCUGCUGAAGUUUUGGUAAAAGUUCUUUGGAAUAGGACAUCAUAGAGGGUGAGAAUCCCGUAUUUGACCAUUAUUUUCAGCUUUGUGAUACACUUUCAAAGAGUCGGAUUGUUUGGGAAUGACAGUCCAAAAUAGGGUGGUAAAUUUCAUCUAAAGCUAAAUAUUGGCGAGAGACCGAUAGCGAACAAGUACCGUGAGGGAAAGAUGAAAAGAACUUUGAAAAGAGAGUUAAUCAGUACGUGAAAUUGUCAAAAGGGAAGCGUUUGACACCAGUGUUGUUUUCUCGAAAAUCAAUUAAAAAUGGCUCGAUUUUGUAUUGCUGAGACCUUAAAAGCUCACUGUACAUUUUUCGUGUCUUUUUUAAUGCACUUUUCGUUUAACAAGUCAACAUCAGUUUCUUUUGUUGUAAAAGGGUCAUUGGAAGGUGGCUUUCUUUUCGGAGAAAGUGUUUAUAGCCUUUGGCCUCUGCAAUCGAAGAGACUGAGGUCUGCAGCGUAGACUCUUCGGGGUUAGAUACACUUGUGCUAAGUUAUAGCUUUUUAUAGACAACUUGUUGACUAUAAUUAGUCUUGUAGCUUACUCGCUUAUGCUAUUUUACCUACGCUUAGGAUGUUGAUAGUCACAGCGUGUAC
This 775-nucleotide ribosomal RNA is filed under the name uncultured Neocallimastigales. RNAcentral's name for it is "partial large subunit ribosomal RNA". It matches the Rfam family "Eukaryotic large subunit ribosomal RNA", at positions 26 to 625 of the family's 3401-position model. The record is from RNAcentral. Lineage: Eukaryota; Fungi; Neocallimastigomycota; Neocallimastigomycetes; Neocallimastigales.